GACGAACGCUGGCGGCGUGCCUAAUACAUGCAAGUCGAACGCACAGUUUAUACCGUAGCUUGCUACACCAUAGACUGUGAGUUGCGAACGGGUGAGUAACGCGUAGGUAACCUGCCUGGUAGCGGGGGAUAACUAUUGGAAACGAUAGCUAAUACCGCAUAAUAUUGAUUAUUGCAUGAUAAUUAAUUGAAAGGUGCAAUUGCACCACUACCAGAUGGACCUGCGUUGUAUUAGCUAGUAGGUGAGGUAACGGCUCACCUAGGCGACGAUACAUAGCCGACCGGAGAGGGUGAUCGGCCACACUGGGACUGAGACAAGGCCCAGAAUCCUACGGGAGGCAGCAGUAGGGAAUCUUCGGCAAUGGACGAAAGUCUGACCGAGCAACGCCGCGUGAGUGAAGAAGGUUAUCGGAUCGUAAAGCUCUGUUGUAAGAGAAGAACGGGUGUGAGAGUGGAAAGUUCACACUGUGACGGUAUCUUACCAGAAAGGGACGGCUAACUACGUG
Molecule: ribosomal RNA, 505 nt
Filed under: uncultured bacterium
Lineage: Bacteria
Description: partial 16S ribosomal RNA
Rfam family: Bacterial small subunit ribosomal RNA
Source: RNAcentral